This 560-nucleotide long non-coding RNA is filed under the name Anser brachyrhynchus (Pink-footed goose). Its description in RNAcentral is "lncRNA (ENSABRG00000015719.1)". Lineage: Eukaryota; Metazoa; Chordata; Aves; Anseriformes; Anatidae. The record is from RNAcentral.
CCAGGUUUCAGGCGGGUUAGAUGCUUGCCCCACACGCCAACCCCUAAGCAGAGAGACUGGAGUAUGCUACCGUGGAGUUAAAGUCUAACUCCUCUGCAGCACGGUGAGGUUCCAGAAUCACUCUCCUUGCAGUCAUAAAGCUAGGAAGUGCAAUGACCAGGCAUGUGGUCCUGACCUCAGACUGAGGAUCCUUGGCCUAGAGUCAAGCAGUUGCUGUAGUCACCGAAACAGCCAAAUUAACUGUCUGCUUAGCCAUGGAUUAAAAUUCAUCCACUGAUCCAAGACAAACUGGUUUCUACAUACAUUUGAUGCAACUAAGUUUUAUUAUUUGUCUCCUUAUGGAAGAAUGCAGAAGACGUGCUCAGCUAUAUUGAUCUCUGAGGAAAUGUGGAUGAGGUAGAUAAUGUGAAACCUUUUUGUCAUUACUAACAGUUAUAUAGGUUGUGGAAACUUUCAGUGUUUGGCUGACUAGAUAAGUUGAUGCACUCACAUUUAUUUGAUUGGAAAAGUAUGGGGAGUAAACUGUGUCACCCCAGUUUCUGUAAUGGAAUUGAUCUUUU